CAGGAGGCUGCCAAAAGCCGACCACCCAUGUUCACGAGUACUUAUUGUUUCCUUGGUAGGUCCGCCUGCCAGAGGACAUAUCAACCAAACCUCUUGCAAUAUUGCCGUCCUGUCUGAUUUGUGAAGCAAGCAAUUUA
Molecule: unclassified non-coding RNA, 137 nt
Filed under: uncultured fungus
Lineage: Eukaryota; Fungi
Description: sequence contains ITS1
Source: RNAcentral